RNAcentral lists this ribosomal RNA (253 nucleotides) under uncultured bacterium. RNAcentral describes it as "partial 16S ribosomal RNA". It matches the Rfam family "Bacterial small subunit ribosomal RNA", at positions 524 to 776 of the family's 1533-position model. The record is from RNAcentral.
UACGAAGGGGGCUAGCGUUGUUCGGAUUUACUGGGCGUAAAGCGCACGUAGGCGGAUCGUUAAGUCGGGGGUGAAAUCCUGGAGCUCAACUCCAGAACUGCCUUCGAUACUGGCGAUCUUGAGUCCGGAAGAGGUGAGUGGAACUCCUAGUGUAGAGGUGGAAUUCGUAGAUAUUAGGAAGAACACCAGAGGCGAAGGCAGCGAAUUGGCCCUAUAUUGACGCUCAGGCACGAAAGCAUGGGGAUCAAACAGG